CCCUAUUCAAAUUACCCGACCCAGACCCACUUUUUUCAAAAGCCUCUCCCAAGACCAAUACCAGUCAAGACCCGAUCUAGCCCAACCCUUUAAUCCCUCUGCUCUUUGUGUAUAACAAACAACAGUUGCUAAAUAACAACGAUAAUAUCGAACAACACCAGCGAACAACAAUAUCACUGAACAACAACAAGCAACACCAACCCAGUAAUGUCCUAGCCCCAAAUCCCUUUUCCUACAUCUAAUUACCCUUCUCUCUCGAAGUAGAAUGUGAUUCUCACGAGGACAAAAUCAAGAAAGUUCUAGAACACGCAGGUGGCCCUUCAAUCCAUGAAUUAAGGAAGGGGUGGUACGACUUCGUACCAAAUCCACCUCGCAAGCUUAUCCAUAAUUAUAAAUUUGGAUUUUGCCUUUAAAAAAUUUCCAAAACACCCUUGAAUUUCCUAUAUCUCACAUCAUUUGAAAGCUGAAAAUCGACCCUCAGCCCCUUCCAUAAAUACUCUAUUUUUGAAGCUGUAAAAGGAGGAAUUCUUGAAAGGUUGAUCUAAUCAUUCAAGCAAGAAAUGAAGGAUAAAAACCAUUCAAGCAAGAAGAGAAGGAUUUCAAAUUGAAGUAAGAUUUCCUUUGUUGAGUUUUAAAGUUUCUAGGUUAGAAUUCUUGUAAGACUCGAUUAAGCAAUGGAUUUCGGCUAAGAAAUGAGUUGAUUUUUCGGUGGUGGGAUGAAUGCUUCGACGAAGAAACGAAGACCCCAUUUGCUGCUCCAAAAAAAGUCCUAUUUGGAAUCAUCCCUUUGCAUAUCUAACGGUCUAAGGAGGCUCAUAUAGCGUCGAGUCAAGCCUAAAAACCCAAAAUGGGUUCAAAAUUGAAGAAAAUGUGUAGCUAAAAAGCUACAUAACGAAGUUAGCAUACGAGAUCGAAUACGAAGGCGAGAAAAUAAAAAUGGGCCAAGAAGUCUAUGAGAAUUGAGGAUUAAAGUCGGACAAGUCCAAAUGAGUUCAAAACCUGUUUUUCUCAACUCUUCUUCAUUUAUUUAUUUAUUUGUAAUUCAAAUUUGAUAUGUGUAUUAAACUCUGAAAUUUGGUUAGUCUAAAAUACAUCCCCUUCGAGUUAUCA
Long non-coding RNA from Capsicum annuum, 1110 nucleotides. RefSeq lists it as uncharacterized. The transcript is spliced from 2 exons. The record is from RefSeq and is a predicted model, not a curated record. Lineage: Eukaryota; Viridiplantae; Streptophyta; Magnoliopsida; Solanales; Solanaceae.